This is a long non-coding RNA of Cyprinus carpio (common carp), 1486 nucleotides long. RefSeq lists it as uncharacterized. The record is from RefSeq and is a predicted model, not a curated record. NCBI's taxonomy places the organism in Eukaryota, Metazoa, Chordata, Actinopteri, Cypriniformes, Cyprinidae. The transcript is spliced from 3 exons.
UCUUGUGGUGAUGAAGUGAAUUGUCUCGGGCCUCCAUAUGCGCACCUUACUAAGCUAGUUUGCACUUGAAACCAGGAAGCUUGGAGUUGUAAAGAAGCCAGACACAAAGUGCAUCAUAAAGAUGGAAUUUAUAGCGAGGCUGCCAUGGAAGAACUGAUUGUAUUACUGUACAAAAAAUCUAACCAGAUGCAAAGCACAUCAAAACCAGAUCCCUGGGGAAUGGAAAACGUUUGCGGCUGAAGCAUAAAACUACAAGUUACUCGCGGAGGAACAUUGUUUUGGUAGUUUCGAGAGUUGUGCUUCGGCUCCACUAUUCUGCGCGGAUGAAUCUGAUGGCUUGAGUCACCACUGCUAAUGUUUCCAGAUAACUAUUCCAAAACUCUGCCAAUAAUCAAAGAAGGAAGAAAAUGAAAGAAUCUGAAAAUUGGCAAAUGAGCAGAAAUUGACAUCUGUGACAUCUAGAAGAAACAUUUAAGACAUUGUUGACAUUUAAAUGGGCUCUCCAUUAUGUCACCUGAGCUACAAAACAGAGAGCUCUUGUCAUGAUUACAUGGGAAUGCUGACAUUUACAGCAGGUACGCACUAACAAACCCUGAUGCUGAGGAUGCUGGAAAAUGUGCUCAUUCUGCAUGAACAAAGCGGUGUUCUCUACAAUGUUCUGGGCUUUCCGCCCAUGUUUUUGAUCCACUUGGAUUUAAGGCAUUCUGACAACAUGGAACAUUUGUGGGAUUGCUGUAGGGAGCGAUUCUGUUCCGGCUGGCGGAAGGAUGCAAGGUCAGCUGGUUCCCCUUCAAGUCAGGCAUCAUUACAGACAUCCUGUGGAGGCAGAAGGGCUUUCUAGAACGGACCGUUUCCAGGUUCUCAUGCAGUCACAACAGAGAGCUCACAAACUCCAUCUCACUUAGAGAGCCAUGUGAUGUCAAAUAAAUGUACUGGAUUUAAUAAAUGUUCACCUUUAAUCGCAUCUUUACCAAAGGCCAAGCCUUACUUCAUUCAAGUGUCCUCUAAAAGACUUUAAAGUGUACACUGAAAUGCCGUCAGAGCAGAAAUUACCUUUUAAGGCUUUCUAGGUCUUGGUUAAUGCCUCUUUCUUGUUGGUCUGGCAAAUUAGCCUCAUUCUUCGCUGUCUAGUCACCUAGUCUGUUUGAAAAAUCUGCCAGACAUCUGGAAUCGGUCACUAUACAUGUCAGCUUGGCUAAGUCACAUCUUGAUGGUGGUUAUCUAAGUGAAUUUGGGUCAUGCAUACCUGUCAUAGCUGAUAAAUGAAGAUUAUAAGACCUAACUGUAUCAUAUCAGGCCAGUUGGUGCACAAGAAUGAGUUAGGAUGUCCUUUCCACACAAGUUACCUGCUGGGGAAAGUUGCUGGUACUGAGCAUGAAGCCUCAUGAGGCUGUAUAUUAAAGUGAUUUUACAGUGGUACAGUCAUAAAAUCACUGUAAUCCACAGAUUUGUUUUUUUUAUGCACUUCCGUUAAAAAAUGUUUGCG